Long non-coding RNA from Lagopus muta (rock ptarmigan), 583 nucleotides. RefSeq lists it as uncharacterized. NCBI's taxonomy places the organism in Eukaryota, Metazoa, Chordata, Aves, Galliformes, Phasianidae. The record is from RefSeq and is a predicted model, not a curated record. The transcript has 3 exons.
CAUGGCCGCCUUAUAGGGCCGCCCCACACUUAUGGGGUCGGCGGCAGCUUAUAGGUCAGCAUCGCCUUGUAGGGGCAGGGGCAGCUUAUAGGGUCAGCUUAUAGGGUCAGGAGCAGCUUAUAGGGUCAGCUUAUAGGGUCAGGGGCAGCUUAUAGGGUCAGGGGCGGCUUAUAGGGUCAGGAGCAGCUUAUAGGGUCAGGGGCAGCUUAUAGGGUCAGGGUCAGCUUAUAGGGUCAGCUUAUAGGGUCAGGGGCAGCUUAUAGGGUCAGCUUAUAGGGUCAGGGGCAGCUUAUAGGGUCAGCUUAUAGGGUCAGGAGCAGCUUAUAGGGUCAGCUUAUAGGGUCAGGGGCAGCUUAUAGGGUCAGCUUAUAGGGUCAGGGGUGGCUUAUAGGGUCAAGGGCUGCUUAUAGGGUCAGCUUAUAGGGUCAGGGGCAGCUUAUAGGGUCAGGGGCAGCUUAUAGGGUCAGGGGCAGCUUAUAGGGUUUAUAGGGUCAAGGUUGGGGUUAUGGGGUCAAGGUUGGCUUUAUAGGGUCAAUGCAAAGUCUAUGGGAUCAAGGUUGGGUUUAUAGGGUCAAGGUUGGGU